UGGUAAAAGAUGGCUAUGCGCCUUAUUAGCUAGAUGGUAAGGUACGGCUUACCAUGGCAACGAUAAGUAGGGGCCCUGAGAGGGGGAUCCCCCACACUGGUACUGAGACACGGACCAGACUCCUACGGGAGGCAGCAGUGAGGAAUAUUGGGCAAUGGAGGCAACUCUGACCCAGCCAUGCCGCGUGCAGGAAGACUGCCCUAUGGGUUGUAAACUGCUUUUAUACAGGGAGGAACACACCUAUGUGUAGCAUUGCCGGUACCAUAUGAAUAAGCACUUG
This 280-nucleotide ribosomal RNA is filed under the name uncultured bacterium KC303. Its description in RNAcentral is "partial 16S rRNA". It matches the Rfam family "Bacterial small subunit ribosomal RNA", at positions 216 to 496 of the family's 1533-position model. The record is from RNAcentral. Lineage: Bacteria; Pseudomonadati; Bacteroidota.